Non-coding RNA from Cinara cedri, 536 nucleotides. The record is from the annotation of a GenBank genome assembly. NCBI's taxonomy places the organism in Eukaryota, Metazoa, Arthropoda, Insecta, Hemiptera, Aphididae.
AACGCUAUAUCAACUCCUAAAUAUUUCUGUGAUACAAAUAAAAUUGAGCUUAAAUUAGAUUUUAUGGUCCAUUGGAUACCUAAUUUAAUUUCUAACUUCUUAUCUGAACAAAAACUAAAUCUAAAAGUAAUAACGCUGAAAAUUGAACGUAAGCUUUUUACAUAAUUUCUCUAAAUUAUUUACAACUAUAGCAUACCCUCUUGAAAAUUUACCCUAACCACCGGAGUGAAAAGUCUGAAAUAAUCGAAAUUAUUAAAAACAAAUAAUUUAAAGGAAUACGCUAGAUAAUUCGUCUAGAAAAAAAGUUACUCCGUCUCCUAAUUCAAGCGCCAAUAACGAACAUUAUGAAAAAACUGACCUUUCAUCAUUUUUAGUGCUUCAUUGCUGCAGGAUGCAUCUUAGUGUUUUUGGUCUUCUUAGUGAUCGAUAGCCUUGGCUUCUAGGAUUCUUCGCUGAAUACCUCGGAGACAAGAGCGUGGUAGCAUGUGAAUGGUGCAACCGAAAUUGCGGUCGAGCGACGAGCACAGCAUCGACGG